This 28-nucleotide non-coding RNA is filed under the name Bombyx mori (domestic silkworm). Lineage: Eukaryota; Metazoa; Arthropoda; Insecta; Lepidoptera; Bombycidae. The record is from RNAcentral.
UGACCAAUAUCUCCAAAAGUGCUGCUGC